AUUGAACGCUGGCGGCAGGCUUAACACAUGCAAGUCGAGCGGGGACUUCGGUCCUAGCGGCGAACGGGUGAGGAAUGCUUGGGAAUCUGCCUUGUAGUGGGGGAUAACGUUUCGAAAGGAACGCUAAUACCGCAUACGUCCUACGGGAGAAAGGGGGGGAUCUUCGGACCUCUCGCUAUAAGAUGAGCCCAAGUCGGAUUAGCUAGUUGGUGGGGUAAAGGCUCACCAAGGCGACGAUCCGUAGCUGGUCUGGGAGGAUGAUCAGCCACACUGGAACUGAGACACGGUCCAGACUCCUACGGGAGGCAGCAGUGGGGAAUAUUGGACAAUGGGCGAAAGCCUGAUCCAGCCAUGCCGCGUGUGUGAAGAAGGCCUUCGGGUUGUAAAGCACUUUAAGCGAGGAGGAAUGGCUCUGGGUUAAUACCCUUGAGCAGUGACGUUACUCGCAGAAUAAGCACCGGCUAACUCUGUGCCAGCCGCCGCCGUAA
This 488-nucleotide ribosomal RNA is filed under the name uncultured bacterium. Its description in RNAcentral is "partial 16S ribosomal RNA". It matches the Rfam family "Bacterial small subunit ribosomal RNA", at positions 30 to 523 of the family's 1533-position model. The record is from RNAcentral.